Molecule: long non-coding RNA, 572 nt
Filed under: Physcomitrium patens
Lineage: Eukaryota; Viridiplantae; Streptophyta; Bryopsida; Funariales; Funariaceae
Description: long non-coding RNA (PPAT_LNC000749)
Source: RNAcentral
AACACAAAGAAUUAUUAGAGAUCCUAUAAAGAAAUUAUAAAGAAAUUAUAUAGAAAUCCAAAAAAUAUAUAUUAAUAUAGAAAUCUUAAUAAAAUAUUAAAAUAAAAACCUUAAUUAAAUCCUAGUCAAAAUCUAAUCAAACCUUAAUCAAACCUUAGUCAAACCUUAAUCAAAUCUUUAUCAAAUCUUAGUCAAUUCCUAAAUAAGCCUUAACCAAAUCAUAGAUAAAUUCUAGUCAAAUCCUAGUCAAAUCCUAAUCAAAUCUUAAAUCCUAAAUCCUAAAAUUCUAAUCAAAUCCUAAUCAAAUCCUAAAUAAAUCCUAAUAAAAUCCUAAAUAAAUCUUAGUCAAAACUUAGACAAAUCCUAAAUAAGUCCUAAUCAAACCCUAUUCAAAUUCUAAUCAAAUCCUAAACAAAUUCCAACCAAAUCCUAAUCAAAUCCUAAAUAAAUCUUAAUCAAAUCCUAAGUAAAUCCUAACCAAAUCCUAAUCAAACCCUAGUCAAAUCCUAAAUAAACCCUAAAUAAGUCCUAACCUAAACCGAAUCCUAAUCCUAACCAAACCUUAAAUCAAU